CGUGAGGUGUUGGGUUAAGUCCCGCAACGAGCGCAACCCUCAUCUUUAGUUGCCAUCAGUUAGGCUGGGCACUCUAGAGAAACUGCCUGCGAUGAGCAGGAGGAAGGCGGGGAUGACGUCAAGUCCUCAUGGCCCUUAUGGACUGGGCUACACACGUGCUACAAUGGCGGUGACAAUGGGCAGCGAAGGGGCGACCUGGAGCAAAUCCCAAAAAGCCGUCCCAGUUCGGAUUGUACUCUGCAACUCGAGUGCAUGAAGUUGGAAUCGCUAGUAAUCGCGGAUCAGCAUGCCGCGGUGAAUACGUUCCCAGGCCUUGUACACACCGCCCGUCACACCAUGGGAGUGGGUUGCAAAAGAAGUGGGUAGCAUAACCUUCGGGAGUGCGCUCACCACUUUGUGAUUCAUGACUGGGGUGAAGUCGGAACAAGGUAGCCGUAGGGGGACCUGCGGCUGGAUCACC
RNAcentral lists this ribosomal RNA (460 nucleotides) under Pteridomonas danica. RNAcentral describes it as "partial Bacterial small subunit ribosomal RNA". It matches the Rfam family "Bacterial small subunit ribosomal RNA", at positions 1066 to 1527 of the family's 1533-position model. Lineage: Eukaryota; Dictyochophyceae; Pedinellales. The record is from RNAcentral.